This 220-nucleotide unclassified non-coding RNA is filed under the name fungal sp. RNAcentral's name for it is "partial internal transcribed spacer region". The stretch from base 1 to 46 matches the Rfam family "Eukaryotic small subunit ribosomal RNA", at positions 1786 to 1831 of the family's 1831-position model. Lineage: Eukaryota; Fungi. The record is from RNAcentral.
AAGUCGUAACAAGGUCAUCGUAGGUGAACCUGCGGUGGGAUCAUUUGUGAAAUUGUGGGGGCAACUCCUAUCUUGUGCGGGAGAUGUAAGAGAUUGCCCACUUUUUUAUGGGUGGGCGCCCAUUCAGCCAUAGACGCUGUCGGUUUGGAUCUUGGAAGAGACACUUUGGCUAAAGCAAUGUAAUCAUACACAACUAUACAUGGUGGAUCACUUGGCUCUC